RNAcentral lists this ribosomal RNA (429 nucleotides) under Chloroflexota bacterium. RNAcentral describes it as "Chloroflexi bacterium partial 16S ribosomal RNA". It matches the Rfam family "Bacterial small subunit ribosomal RNA", at positions 355 to 776 of the family's 1533-position model. The record is from RNAcentral. Lineage: Bacteria; Bacillati; Chloroflexota.
UGGGGAAUAUUGCACAAUGGGCGCAAGCCUGAUGCAGCCAUGCCGCGGGUAUGAAGAAGGCCUUCGGGUUGUAAAGUACUUUCAGCGGGGAGGAAGGGAGUAAAGUUAAUACCUUUGCUCAUUGACGUUACCCGCAGAAGAAGCACCGGCUAACUCCGUGCCAGCAGCCGCGGUAAUACGGAGGGUGCAAGCGUUAAUCGGAAUUACUGGGCGUAAAGCGCACGCAGGCGGUUUGUUAAGUCAGAUGUGAAAUCCCCGGGCUCAACCUGGGGACUGCAUCUGAUACUGGCAAGCUUGAGUCUCGUAGAGGGGGGUAGAAUUCCAGGUGUAGCGGUGAAAUGCGUAGAGAUCUGGAGGAAUACCGGUGGCGAAGGCGGCCCCCUGGACGAAGACUGACGCUCAGGUGCGAAAGCGUGUGGAGCAAACAGG